Molecule: unclassified non-coding RNA, 455 nt
Filed under: Hevea brasiliensis (rubber tree)
Lineage: Eukaryota; Viridiplantae; Streptophyta; Magnoliopsida; Malpighiales; Euphorbiaceae
Source: RNAcentral
AAGGAGCCUACUUUGUUUGGAGACAGCAGACCGUCCUGGAUUGCUGCUUGAAGUUAUUAAAAUACUGGCCGAUAUCAAUAUUGUGGUUGAAUCGGCAGAGAUAGAUACAGAAGGGUUGGUGGCCAAGGACAAGUUUCAUGUCAGUUAUGGGGGAGCUGCACUGAAUAGUUCCUUAUCUCAGGUUAUGGUAAAUUGCCUACGUUACUACCUGCGGAGGCCGGAGACAGACGUGGAUAGUUACUAAGAUUGUCUCAAUGUAAUGUUUGAAACUGUUUGAGAGCUGAGGUCUGGGACCCUUUGCUUUUGAGUUCUCGUGAUUUCCUGAAUUUUAUAUUUUGAAAUUUCGAGCUCUCAGAUGCUCUAUGAGUCUGAUUAACUCAAAGUUGUUCAUCCUGAGAUCUUAUUUCACUUGUAUAGAUUUGAAGAAUCAGAUAUUGUCACACAAUAAUAAUGGG